RNAcentral lists this ribosomal RNA (494 nucleotides) under uncultured bacterium. RNAcentral describes it as "bacterial SSU rRNA". It matches the Rfam family "Bacterial small subunit ribosomal RNA", at positions 28 to 511 of the family's 1533-position model. The record is from RNAcentral.
GAUGAACGCUAGCUACAGGCUUAACACAUGCAAGUCGAGGGGCAGCAGGAGCAAAGCUUGCUUUGCUUGCUGGCGACCGGCGCACGGGUGCGUAACGCGUAUCGAACCUGCCCUAUACUCGGGGAUAGCCUUGCGAAAGUAAGAUUAAUACCCGAUGUUGUUAUUACAUCGCAUGAUGUUUUAACCAAAGAUUUAUCGGUAUAGGAUGGCGAUGCGUGACAUUAGGUAGUAGGUGAGGUAACGGCUCACCUAGCCUACGAUGUCUAGGGGUUCUGAGAGGAAGGUCCCCCACACUGGAACUGAGACACGGCCCAGACUCCUACGGGAGACAGCAGUUAGGAAUAUUCGUCAAUGGGCGUAAGCCUGAACCAGCCAAGUAGCGUGAAGGAUGACUGCCCUACGGGUUGUAAACUUCUUUUGUAUGGGAAUAAAGUUCAGUACGUGUACUGUUUUGUAUGUACCAUACGAAUAAGCAUCGGCUAAUUCCGUGCCAG